This 253-nucleotide ribosomal RNA is filed under the name uncultured bacterium. RNAcentral describes it as "partial 16S ribosomal RNA". It matches the Rfam family "Bacterial small subunit ribosomal RNA", at positions 524 to 776 of the family's 1533-position model. The record is from RNAcentral.
GACAGAGGAUGCAAGCGUUAUCCGGAAUUAUUGGGCGUAAAGCGUCUGCAGGUGGCUUUUCAAGUCCGCCGUCAAAUCCCAGGGCUCAACCCUGGACAGGCGGUGGAAACUACCAAGCUGGAGUACGGUAGGGGCAGAGGGAAUUUCCGGUGGAGCGGUGAAAUGCAUUGAGAUCGGAAAGAACACCAACGGUGAAAGCACUCUGCUGGGCCGACACUGACACUGAGAGACGAAAGCUAGGGGAGCGAAUGGG